CCACUGAGAUCCAGUGGCUACAUGGAUUAGAGCUAUUAAGAUGUUGGUCUAAGUCACAAGAGUUUUGGAGACCGGAAAUACUUGAUUUCAGUAGAUGAAUUUAAACUUAUCUGAAGCUGCUUCUCCCCGCUCCUUCUUGGCGCUCGCCCACGGCGCUCCAGGCCACCUCUGAUGUGGGGCAGACACCAGGGAAAGAGCCACGGCGGGAGCCUCCCCACAUUGCUCAGGGGUCACACCUCAGC
Molecule: long non-coding RNA, 242 nt
Filed under: Athene cunicularia (burrowing owl)
Lineage: Eukaryota; Metazoa; Chordata; Aves; Strigiformes; Strigidae
Description: lncRNA (ENSACUG00000005250.1)
Source: RNAcentral